AACCCAUCAAUGGAUUCUCCCACCUGAAACAAAAAUAACCAAAACAUCAUGGUUUUUACAAUGGCCAGUAAUUUCAUUAAGCAACACUAUAAAUGUACUAUUUUAUUUCACUGCACCUAUUAACAUAUACAGUAAGGACCCAAGGAUAGAACACUGCAGACGCAGGCUAACGCAACGCAUAUGCUAUUUUAUGCCUUCAACCAUUAGAGAAAAAUGAAUAAAGUGAGCUCAAUUCUCCUUAAUAGGUAUGGAAAAUACUUAUAAUGAUUGAUCUUUCUCUCAGAUAUGUCAAUUCAUAAGGGCAUCCAUGAGUUGAAUUCACCCCCAUCAUAAGCCUCAAAAAGCUUUCAAUAAUUUGGCACUAUUGUAAAGAAAAAUUUUUGAAUUGUAACAAAAUUUUUUAAUCCCUACAACUUAAUAGGAAAGGCUAAAGCAUGCGACUGAUGAAGCAUACUUAUGGGUAAACAAAAAAUCAA
This 476-nucleotide unclassified non-coding RNA is filed under the name Hevea brasiliensis (rubber tree). The record is from RNAcentral. Lineage: Eukaryota; Viridiplantae; Streptophyta; Magnoliopsida; Malpighiales; Euphorbiaceae.